CCUACGGGAGGCAGCAGUGGGGAAUAUUGCGCAAUGGGCGAAAGCCUGACGCAGCGACGCCGCGUGAGGGAUGAAGGUCUUCGGAUCGUAAACCUCUGUCAGCAGGGAAGAACGGUCACUGUGCUAAUCAGCAGUGAAUUGACGGUACCUGCAAAGGAAGCACCGGCUAACUCCGUGCCAGCAGCCGCGGUAAUACGGAGGGUGCGAGCGUUAAUCGGAAUUACUGGGCGUAAAGCGCUCGUAGGCGGUAUGGCAAGUCAAGGGUGAAAUCCCCGCGCUCAACGUGGGAACUGCCUUUGAAACUGGCAAACUGGAGUGUGUGAGAGGAUAGUGGAAUUCCAGGUGUAGGAGUGAAAGCCGUAGAUAUCUGGAGGAACAUAAGUGGCGAAGGCGACUAUCUGGCACAUAACUGACGCUGAGGAGCGAAAGCGUGGGUAGCAAACAGGAUUAGAUACCCUUGUAGUC
This 465-nucleotide ribosomal RNA is filed under the name uncultured bacterium. RNAcentral describes it as "partial 16S ribosomal RNA". It matches the Rfam family "Bacterial small subunit ribosomal RNA", at positions 338 to 795 of the family's 1533-position model. The record is from RNAcentral.